AUGAAUCUUGAAGGCCAUAAAUGUAUGACCACUGUUACCAUGAAUCCUGAAGGCCGUCAAUUUCAGACCAGUGUUACCAUGAAUCCUGAAGGCUGUCAAUUUCAGACCAGUGUUACCAUGAAUCCUGAAGACCGUCAAUAUCAGACCAGUGUUACCAUGAAUCCUGAAGGCCAUCAAUAUCAGACCACUGUUACCAUGAAUCCUGAAGGCCAUCAAUAUCAGACCAGUGUUACCAUGAAUCCUGUAGGCCGUCAAUUUCAGACCAGUGUUACCAUGAAUCCUGAAGGCGUCAAUUUCAGACCAGUGUUUCUCAUGUGGCUGUUUCUCUCCCCUGGUUUCUCAUGUGGCUGUUUCUCUCCCCUGGUUUAUCAUGUGGUUGUUUCUCUCCCCUGGUUUAUCAUGUGGCUGUUUCUCAUGUGGCUGUUUCUCUCCCCUGGUUUAUCAUGUGGCUGUUUCUCAUGUGGCUGUUUCUCAUGUGGCUGUUUCUCUCCCCUGGUGUAUCAUGUGGCUAUUUCUCUCCCCUGGUUUAUCAUGUGGCUGUUUCUCAUGUGGCUGUUUCUCUCCCCUGGUUUCUCAUGUGGCUAUUUCUCAUGUGGUUGUUUCUCUCCCCUGGUUUCUCAUGUGGCUGUUUCUCAUGUGGUUGUUUCUCUCCCCUGGUUUCUCAUGUGGCUGUUUCUCUCCCCUGGUUUCUCAUGUGGCUAUUUCUCUCCCCUGGUUUCUCAUGUGGCUGUUUCUCUCCCCUGGUUUCUCAUGUGGCUGUUUCUCAUGUGGCUGUUUCUCUCCCCUGGUUUCUCAUGUGGCUAUUUUUCUCCCCUGGUUUAUCAUGUGGCUGUUUCUCUCCCCUGGUUUCUCAUGUGGCUGUUUCUCUCCCCUGGUUUCUCAUGUGGCUGUUUCUCUCCCCUGGUUUCUCAUGUGGCUGUUUCUCAUGUGGCUGUUUCUCUCCCCUGGUUUCUCAUGUGGCUGUUUCUCUCCCCUGGUUUCUCAUGUGGCUGUUUCUCAUGUGGCUGUUUCUCUCCCCUGGUUUCUCAUGUGGCUGUUUCUCAUGUGGCUGUUUCUCUCCCCUGGUUUCUCAUGUGGCUGUUUCUCUCCCCUGGUUUAUCAUGUGGCUGUUUCUCUCCCCUGGUUUCUCAUGUGUCUGUUUCUCUCCCCUGGUUUCUCAUGUGGCUGUUUCUCUCCCCUGGUUUCUCAUGUGGCUGUUUCUCUCCCCUGGUUUAUCAUGUGGCUGUUUCUCUCCCCUGGUUUCUCAUGUGUCUGUUUCUCUCCCCUGGUUUCUCAUGUGGCUGUUUUUCAUGUGGCUGUUUCCUCUGGUUUCUCAUGUGGUAGUUUUUGUUCGGCAAUGAAAGACCAAUACCCACUGAGGAGAGUGUCCUAUAGAGGAACUGACCGUCGGAGAAGUAGAUUUGGUGCACUGAUGCUCCGGGCCUGUAUGUCAGACUGUCUUCUCUCUGGCUGUGCCAUCGAUGCCCCCUCCCUCCAC
RNAcentral lists this long non-coding RNA (1477 nucleotides) under Oncorhynchus mykiss (rainbow trout). Its description in RNAcentral is "lncRNA (ENSOMYG00000060957.1)". Lineage: Eukaryota; Metazoa; Chordata; Actinopteri; Salmoniformes; Salmonidae. The record is from RNAcentral.